CCUACGGGGGGCAGCAGUGAGGAAUAUUGGUCAAUGGGCGGGAGCCUGAACCAGCCAAGUCGCGUGAGGGAAGACGGUCCUAUGGAUUGUAAACCUCUUUAGGCGGGGAGCAAUGCCGGGCACGCGUGCCCGGAGGGAGAGUACCCUCAGAAUAAGCAGCGGCUAAUUCCGUGCCAGCAGCCGCGGUAAUACGGGUGAUGCGAGCGGUAUCCGGUUGUAUUGGGUUUAAAGGGUGCGUAGGCGGAGUUUUAAGUCAGCGGUAAAAGUUCCGGGCUCAACCCGGGCCGGCGGUUGAAACUGGGGAUCUUGAGUGGGCGAGAAGUAUGCGGAAUGCGUGGUGUAGCGGUGAAAUGCAUAGAUAUCACGCAGAACUCCGAUUGCGAAGGCAGCAUACCGGCGCCCGACUGACGCUGAGGCACGAAAGCGUGGGGAUCGAACAGGAUUAGAUACCCCGGUAGUC
Molecule: ribosomal RNA, 460 nt
Filed under: uncultured bacterium
Lineage: Bacteria
Description: partial 16S ribosomal RNA
Rfam family: Bacterial small subunit ribosomal RNA
Source: RNAcentral